UACAGAGAGUGCGAACGUUGUUCGGAAUUACUGGGCUUAAAGCGCACGUAGGCGGUGUCGUAAGUGUCAGGUGAAAUCCCACGGCUCACCCGUGGAACUGCCUGGCAUACUGCGAUGCUCGAGUGUGGUAGGGGAGAGCGGAACUCCUGGUGGAGCGGUGAAAUGCGUAGAUAUCAGGAGGAACACCGGUGGCGAAGGCGGCUCUCUGGUCCACAACUGACGCUGAGGUGCGAAAGCUAGGGGAGCAAACGGG
This 253-nucleotide ribosomal RNA is filed under the name uncultured bacterium. RNAcentral describes it as "partial 16S ribosomal RNA". It matches the Rfam family "Bacterial small subunit ribosomal RNA", at positions 524 to 776 of the family's 1533-position model. The record is from RNAcentral.